AUUGAACGCUGGCGGCAGGCCUAACACAUGCAAGUCGAACGAGUGGCGGACGGGUGAGUAAUGUCUGGGAAACUGCCCGAUGGAGGGGGAUAACUACUGGAAACGGUAGCUAAUACCGCAUACCAUCGGAUGUGCCCAGAUGGGAUUAGCUGGUAGGUGGGGUAACGGCUCACCUAGGCGACGAUCCCUACCUGGUCUGAGAGGAUGACCAGCCACACGGGAACUGAGACACGGGCCAGACUCCUACGGAGGGAAGCAGUGGGGAAGAUGGGACAAUGGGCGCAAGCCUGAUGCAGCCAUGCGGCGUGUAUGAAGAAGGCCUUCGGGUUGUAAAGUACUUUCAGCGAGGAGGCGUUACUCGCAGAGGAAGCACCGGCUAACUCCGUGCCAGCAGCCGCGGUAAUUC
RNAcentral lists this ribosomal RNA (406 nucleotides) under uncultured bacterium. Its description in RNAcentral is "partial 16S ribosomal RNA". It matches the Rfam family "Bacterial small subunit ribosomal RNA", at positions 29 to 526 of the family's 1533-position model. The record is from RNAcentral.